CAAUAGCGUAUAUUUAAGUUGUUGCGGUUAAAAAGCUCGUAGUUGGAUUUCUGCUGAGGACGACCGGUCCGCCCUCCGGGUGAGCAUCUGGUUCGGCCUUGGCAUCUUCUUGGUGAACGUAUCUGCACUUGACUGUGUGGUGCGGUACCCAGGACUUUUACUUUGAAAAAUUAGAGUGUUUAAAGCAGGCUAUUGCCUUGAAUACAUUAGCAUGGAAUAAUAAUCUAGGACUUCGGUUCUAUUUUGUUGGUUCUUAGUACUGAAGUAAUGAUUGAUAGGGAUAGUUGGGGGUGGCUAGUAUUGGCCGGCCAGAGGUGAAAUUCUUGGAUUCGGUCAAGACUAACUUAUGCGAAAGCAUUCACCAAGGAUGUCUUCUUUAAUCAAGAACGAAAGUUGGGGGAUCGAAGAUGAUCAGAUACCAU
RNAcentral lists this ribosomal RNA (422 nucleotides) under uncultured eukaryote. Its description in RNAcentral is "bacterial SSU rRNA". It matches the Rfam family "Eukaryotic small subunit ribosomal RNA", at positions 592 to 1018 of the family's 1831-position model. The record is from RNAcentral.